This 833-nucleotide long non-coding RNA is filed under the name Cyanistes caeruleus (blue tit). RNAcentral describes it as "lncRNA (ENSCCEG00000004071.1)". The record is from RNAcentral. Lineage: Eukaryota; Metazoa; Chordata; Aves; Passeriformes; Paridae.
AUCACCUGGGGUCACCUGGGGGUUACCUGGGGUCACCUGGGGAUCACCAUUGUCACCUGGGAUCACCUGGGGGUAACCUGGGGUCACCUGGGGGUUACCUGGGGGUCCCUAUGGGUCUCCAGUGUCACUUGGAGGUCACUUGGAGGUCACCUGGGGUCCCCAUUGUCACCUGGGGGUCACCUGGGGUCCUCACUGUCACCUGGGGACACCUGUGUGUCACCUGGGGGUUAGCUGGGGAUCACCUGGGGGUCACCAUUGUCACCUGGGGGUCAACAUUUUCACCUGGGGUCACCAUUGUCACCUGGGGUCACCUGGGGUCCCCAUUGUCACCUGGGGUCACCUGGGGUCACCUGGUGUCACCUGGUGGUCACCCGGGGAUUACCUGGGGGUCACCCGGGGUCCCCAUUGUCACCUGGGGUUACCUGGGAUCCUCACUGUCACCUGGGGAUUACCUGGGGGUCACCUGGGGACACCUGUGUGUCACCUGGGGAUUACCUGGGGGUCACCUGGGGUCCCUACUGUCAUCUGGGGGUCACCUGGGGGUUACCUGUGUGUCCUCAAUGUUCUUGUGUUCCCCUGUGGUGUCCCCAGUGUCACCUGAGGGCUACCUGGGUGUCCCUGGGUGUCUCACCUGUGUCCCCUGGGUGUCCCCUGGGUGUCCCCUGGGUGUCCCUGGGUGUCCCCGUGUGUCCCACCUGUGUCCCACCUGUGGCAGGUGCGCUGACACCCCCGAGGAGCAGUGGGAUUUCGAGACCAUCCGCACGGUGGAUCCGUGGGGGACGGAGCUGGGCCGGCGGUUCCGGGGGGGGCUGCGGCGCUGGAACAUGACGGUG